RNAcentral lists this ribosomal RNA (440 nucleotides) under uncultured bacterium. RNAcentral describes it as "partial 16S ribosomal RNA". It matches the Rfam family "Bacterial small subunit ribosomal RNA", at positions 338 to 795 of the family's 1533-position model. The record is from RNAcentral.
CCUACGGGUGGCAGCAGUGGGGAAUAUUGCACAAUGGGGGAAACCCUGAUGCAGCGACGCCGCGUGAGUGAAGAAGUAAUUCGGUAUGUAAAGCUCUAUCAGCAGGGAAGAAAAUGACGGUACCUGAGUAAGAAGCCCCGGCUAACUACGUGCCAGCAGCCGCGGUAAGACGGGGGGGGCAAUCGUUAUCCGGAUUUAGUGGGGGUAAAGGGAGCGUAUACGGCAGGGCAAGUAUGGAGUGAAAGGCGGGGGCUCAACCCCCGGACUGCUCUGGAAACUGGACGGCUGGAGUGCAGGAGAGGUAAGUGGAAUUCCUGGUGUAGCGGUGAAAUGCGUAGAUAUUAGGCGGAACACCAGUGGUGAAGGCGGCUUACUGGACUCUAACUGACGUUGAGGCUCGAAAGCGUGGGGAGCAAACAGGAUUAGAUACCCUUGUAGUC